Molecule: ribosomal RNA, 658 nt
Filed under: Trichoderma velutinum
Lineage: Eukaryota; Fungi; Ascomycota; Sordariomycetes; Hypocreales; Hypocreaceae
Description: eukaryotic LSU rRNA
Rfam family: 5.8S ribosomal RNA (bases 273-425)
Source: RNAcentral
CUUGGUCAUUUAGAGGAAGUAAAAGUCGUAACAAGGUCUCCGUUGGUGAACCAGCGGAGGGAUCAUUACCGAGUUUACAACUCCCAAACCCAAUGUGAACGUUACCAAACUGUUGCCUCGGCGGGAUCUUCUGCCCCGGGUGCGUCGCAGCCCCGGACCAAGGCGCCCGCCGGAGGAAUCAACCAAAACUCUUAUUGUAUACCCCCUCGCGGGUUUUUUUUAUAAUCUGAGCCUUCUCGGCGCCUCUCGUAGGCGUUUCGAAAAUGAAUCAAAACUUUCAACAACGGAUCUCUUGGUUCUGGCAUCGAUGAAGAACGCAGCGAAAUGCGAUAAGUAAUGUGAAUUGCAGAAUUCAGUGAAUCAUCGAAUCUUUGAACGCACAUUGCGCCCGCCAGUAUUCGGCGGGCAUGCCUGUCCGAGCGUCAUUUCAACCCUCGAACCCCUCCGGGGGGUCGGCGUUGGGGAUCGGCCUUCCUUCACGGGGGCCGUCUCCGAAAUACAGUGGCGGUCUCGCCGCAGCCUCUCCUGCGCAGUAGUUUGCACACUCGCAUCGGGAGCGCGGCGCGUCCACAGCCGUUAAACACCCAACUUUCUGAAAUGUUGACCUCGGAUCAGGUAGGAAUACCCGCUGAACUUAAGCAUAUCAAUAAGCGGAGGA